CACAGAGUUCUUCUGACCAUCCUAUGAAAGAGGGCAGGAUGGUCAGAAGGACUUUAUGACGUCAUAGGUGGCUCGUGACGUCAUUUACGGAUUUUCUAUAAAUAGGAGCACAGGCUUGAUCGCAGGCGGAGAUUUGUACUCAUAUCUGGAAUAUGGUGAUUUCUGAGCGUGAGCAGGUGGACUCUAGUAGCUCCAGGCGGGUGGACUAUCUUGAAACCUUUCAAAACUAUUUGGGGAAUAUUGUGGAUGGUAUAUUUAUUGGCUUGGGAUAUUGUGUGUGUGGGUUUUUUUACGCAGCCCUUUACGGGAUGGCGUGCGUUGUUAGAUUCCUUAAUAAUCUAUGAGAAAGAGUUAGGAAACGGAGGGGGUUGAGCUCUAUUUACGACGCUGAUGUGAUGCUCACAGCUCCAUCGGUUAAAUGUCUGUGGCAGUUUAUUUACUCACUGGCACGGAGUCGCACAGACGUCCUAACCUGAAGCUCAAACGACGUCCACGUGCUGCCCAGGCGACUGCAUCUCCCCCUCAUCGCUCUCUCCCGCUCCCGCGGGAACUUCUGCCUUUCUCCCUCCUCCCCUCUGUCUGUCUAUCCUUCUCCCCUCUGUCUGCUGACUUUCAAAAAAAAAAAAAAAAUAAAUAAAUAAACGUCCUUGUACGAAAACCAUUCAUUCCAAGCAAGGUAGUUUAUGGGAGGUAAAUCCUGUCAAACAUAAAACUGAAAUGCAAAUACCAAAGGCGUAGGAGCGGGAUUGACAUUGGGGGACACACAUUUGUUAAUAUGAAUCAAAGCCCUCCCUAGGGACUAAGAACAAAGUUUGUGGAAUUACAUUUAAUCACAAAUAAACAAAAUAUUUUUUUUCUGUACUUCUGUUUAUUAUUAAUUCAAUCCAAAUUAAGGUAACCUUACAACCUAAAUAUUUCACUCAAAAUUACAUUUACUGUUGUUAGAAAUUACUUUUCGUUCAAUGUCUGAAUUAUAUACACAUAUGACCAAAACUGAUCAGUUAUCAUAUUUAAAAUAAUAUAACAACAUAUUUGGUUAUUAUUAUUAUUAUUAUUAUUAUUAUUAUUAUUAUUAUUAGCAUUAUUAUUAGCAUUAGCAUGUUGUCACGCAGCCUGACUCUCCUUCCACACCUCUGGACUCCACUUCCCAGAAUCCUUUGGGUUAUGACGUCACCGUCAGUCGCUCGCCUUCGCCCAAUCACGUUACGCUCCGGCGCUCAGACUCACCUGUGUUCUGAGGAAGGUCCGGGUUAUGCUCUCUGUUUUUCUGUAUUUAAGGUCGCACUGUGUAAUGUAUCUUCGCGAGGUAUUGUCGACUUAUGUUGCGUACUAAGCGGUUUCUUCCUGUUCUUUAGUGAUGGGCAGAUGAAGCCUCAUUGGGUGUAUGGCACAUUUCCCAAACUGUGUCGACACUGUGUUGAAACUGUGUUGCUGUAUCACUUAAUGGCGACAUCUGCUGGACUAAGAAAGUCAUUGCAAGCAACUGCGCGAGAAAACGCAUCGGUCACGUGGUUUUCCUUAAAAUGAUACGCGGUCCGGCUUAAUGUGAAAAAAAAAACAAUAUUAGCAAUGAAUAUUAAAUAACAGAUUUAUUAGACCUAUUGCAUCUGGUUUUGAUUACUUACAACGGCCAAGUUGUGGGUAAGGUCUUCAGAAUGGGAAAACGACCUUGACCAUGACCUUUUAAUGUCAAAAUCACCUAACAUGGUCAUAACAAUAUCAGAAAUGAAUUCCUCAUACCAUAAUUAGUCUAAAUUGAGGUAUUAUAUGUGUAUAUACAUUCAGAAACAAAAAAGUUCUAUUUUCAUCAUAGACGAUGGCAGCCAUAU
This is a long non-coding RNA of Astyanax mexicanus (Mexican tetra), 1829 nucleotides long. RefSeq lists it as uncharacterized. The record is from RefSeq and is a predicted model, not a curated record. The transcript has 2 exons. NCBI's taxonomy places the organism in Eukaryota, Metazoa, Chordata, Actinopteri, Characiformes, Acestrorhamphidae.